Molecule: ribosomal RNA, 497 nt
Filed under: uncultured bacterium
Lineage: Bacteria
Description: partial 16S ribosomal RNA
Rfam family: Bacterial small subunit ribosomal RNA
Source: RNAcentral
GAUGAACGCUGGCGGCGUGCCUAAUACAUGCAAGUCGAGCGAACAGACGAGGAGCUUGCUCCUCUGACGUUAGCGGCGGACGGGUGAGUAACACGUGGAUAACCUACCUAUAAGACUGGGAUAACUUCGGGAAACCGGAGCUAAUACCGGAUAAUAUAUUGAACCGCAUGGUUCAAUAGUGAAAGACGGUUUUGCUGUCACUUAUAGAUGGAUCCGCGCCGCAUUAGCUAGUUGGUAAGGUAACGGCUUACCAAGGCGACGCUGAGUAGCCGACCUGAGAGGGUGAACGGCCACACUGGAACUGAGACACGGUCCAGACUCCUACGGGAGGCAGCAGUAGGGAAUCUUCCGCAAUGGGCGAAAGCCUGACGGAGCAACGCCGCGUGAGUGCUGAAGGUCUUCGGAUCGUAAAACUCUGUUAUUAGGGAAGAACAAAUGUGUAAGUAACUAUGCACGUCUUGACGGUACCUAAUCAGAAAGCCACGGCUAACUACGUG